UGCCAGCCGCCGCGGUAAUACGGAGGGUCCAAGCGUUAUCCGGAUUUAUUGGGUUUAAAGGGUGCGCAGGCGGAACUUUAAGUCAGUGGUGAAAUCUUGCCGCUUAACGGUAAAAUUGCCAUUGAUACUGAAGUUCUUGAAUGUAGUUGAGGUAGGCGGAAUGUGUUGUGUAGCGGUGAAAUGCAUAGAUAUGACACAGAACGCCAAUUGCGAAGGCAGCCUACUAAGCUACGAUUGACGCUGAUGAACGAAAGCUAGGGUAUCAAACGGGAUUAGAUA
RNAcentral lists this ribosomal RNA (279 nucleotides) under uncultured bacterium. Its description in RNAcentral is "partial 16S ribosomal RNA". It matches the Rfam family "Bacterial small subunit ribosomal RNA", at positions 506 to 784 of the family's 1533-position model. The record is from RNAcentral.